UUAAGCGACUAAGCGUACACGGUGGAUGCCCUGGCAGUCAGAGGCGAUGAAGGACGUGCUAAUCUGCGAAAAGCGUCGGUAAGGUGAUAUGAACCGUUAUAGCCGGCGAUGUCCGAAUGGGGAAACCCAGUGCAAUUCGUUGCACUAUCGUUAACUGAAUACAUAGGUUAACGAGGCGAACCGGGGGAACUGAAACAUCUAAGUACCCCGAGGAAAAGAAAUCAACCGAGAUUCCCCCAGUAGCGGCGAGCGAACGGGGAGCAGCCCAGAGUCUGAAUCAGCUUGUGUGUUAGUGGAACGGUCUGGAAAGUCCGACGGUACAGGGUGAUAGUCCCGUACACCAAAAUGCACAGGCUGUGAACUCGAAGAGUAGGGCGGGACACGUGGUAUCCUGUCUGAAUAUGGGGGGACCAUCCUCCAAGGCUAAAUACUCCUGACUGACCGAUAGUGAACCAGUACCGUGAGGGAAAGGCGAAAAGAACCCCGGCGAGGGGAGUGAAAAAGAACCUGAAACCGUGUACGUACAAGCAGUGGGAGCACCUUCGGGUGUGACUGCGUACCUUUUGUAUAAUGGGUCAGCGACUUAUAUUCUGUAGCAAGGUUAACCGUAUAGGGGAGCCGCAGGGAAACCGAGUCUUAACUGGGCGUUAAGUUGCAGGGUAUAGACCCGAAACCCGGUGAUCUAGCCAUGGGCAGGUUGAAGGUUGGGUAACACUAACUGGAGGACCGAACCGACUAAUGUUGAAAAAUUAGCGGAUGACUUGUGGCUGGGGGUGAAAGGCCAAUCAAACCGGGAGAUAGCUGGUUCUCCCCGAAAGCUAUUUAGGUAGCGCCUCGUGAACUCAUCUUCGGGGGUAGAGCACUGUUUCGGCUAGGGGGUCAUCCCGACUUACCAACCCGAUGCAAACUACGAAUACCGAAGAAUGUUAUCACGGGAGACACACGGCGGGUGCUAACGUCCGUCGUGAAGAGGGAAACAACCCAGACCGCCAGCUAAGGUCCCAAAGUCAUGGUUAAGUGGGAAACGAUGUGGGAAGGCACAGACAGCCAGGAUGUUGGCUUAGAAGCAGCCAUCAUUUAAAGAAAGCGUAAUAGCUCACUGGUCGAGUCGGCCUGCGCGGAAGAUGUAACGGGGCUAAACCAUGCACCGAAGCUGCGGCAGCGACGCUCAGGCGUUGUUGGGUAGGGGAGCGUUCUGUAAGCCUGCGAAGGUGGCCUGUGAGGGCUGCUGGAGGUAUCAGAAGUGCGAAUGCUGACAUAAGUAACGAUAAAGCGGGUGAAAAGCCCGCUCGCCGGAAGACCAAGGGUUCCUGUCCAACGUUAAUCGGGGCAGGGUGAGUCGACCCCUAAGGCGAGGCCGAAAGGCGUAGUCGAUGGGAAACAGGUUAAUAUUCCUGUACUUGGUGUUACUGCGAAGGGGGGACGGAGAAGGCUAUGUUAGCCGGGCGACGGUUGUCCCGGUUUAAGCAUGUAGGCUGGUUAUCCAGGCAAAUCCGGAUAAUCAAGGCUGAGGUGUGAUGACGAGGCACUACGGUGCUGAAGUAACAAAUGCCCUGCUUCCAGGAAAAGCCUCUAAGCAUCAGGUAACAUCAAAUCGUACCCCAAACCGACACAGGUGGUCAGGUAGAGAAUACCAAGGCGCUUGAGAGAACUCGGGUGAAGGAACUAGGCAAAAUGGUGCCGUAACUUCGGGAGAAGGCACGCUGGUGUGUAGGUGAAGUCCCUGCGGAUGGAGCUGAGACCAGUCGAAGAUACCAGCUGGCUGCAACUGUUUAUUAAAAACACAGCACUGUGCAAACACGAAAGUGGACGUAUACGGUGUGACGCCUGCCCGGUGCCGGAAGGUUAAUUGAUGGGGUUAUCCGUAAGGAGAAGCUCUUGAUCGAAGCCCCGGUAAACGGCGGCCGUAACUAUAACGGUCCUAAGGUAGCGAAAUUCCUUGUCGGGUAAGUUCCGACCUGCACGAAUGGCGUAAUGAUGGCCAGGCUGUCUCCACCCGAGACUCAGUGAAAUUGAACUCGCUGUGAAGAUGCAGUGUACCCGCGGCAAGACGGAAAGACCCCGUGAACCUUUACUAUAGCUUGACACUGAACAUUGAGCCUUGAUGUGUAGGAUAGGUGGGAGGCUUUGAAGCGUGGACGCCAGUCUGCGUGGAGCCAACCUUGAAAUACCACCCUUUAAUGUUUGAUGUUCUAACGUGGGCCCCUAAUCGGGGUUGCGGACAGUGUCUGGUGGGUAGUUUGACUGGGGCGGUCUCCUCCCAAAGCGUAACGGAGGAGCACGAAGGUUAGCUAAUCCUGGUCGGACAUCAGGAGGUUAGUGCAAUGGCAUAAGCUAGCUUGACUGCGAGCGUGACGGCGCGAGCAGGUGCGAAAGCAGGUCAUAGUGAUCCGGUGGUUCUGAAUGGAAGGGCCAUCGCUCAACGGAUAAAAGGUACUCCGGGGAUAACAGGCUGAUACCGCCCAAGAGUUCAUAUCGACGGCGGUGUUUGGCACCUCGAUGUCGGCUCAUCACAUCCUGGGGCUGAAGUAGGUCCCAAGGGUAUGGCUGUUCGCCAUUUAAAGUGGUACGCGAGCUGGGUUUAGAACGUCGUGAGACAGUUCGGUCCCUAUCUGCCGUGGGCGCUGGAGAAUUGAGGGGGGCUGCUCCUAGUACGAGAGGACCGGAGUGGACGCAUCACUGGUGUUCGGGUUGUCAUGCCAAUGGCACUGCCCGGUAGCUAAAUGCGGAAGAGAUAAGUGCUGAAAGCAUCUAAGCACGAAACUUGCCCCGAGAUGAGUUCUCCCUGAGACUUUAAGUCUCCUGAAGGAACGUUGAAGACGACGACGUUGAUAGGCCGGGUGUGUAAGCGCAGCGAUGCGUUGAGCUAACCGGUACUAAUGAACCGUGAGGCUUAACCU
Molecule: ribosomal RNA, 2900 nt
Filed under: Klebsiella quasipneumoniae
Lineage: Bacteria; Pseudomonadati; Pseudomonadota; Gammaproteobacteria; Enterobacterales; Enterobacteriaceae
Description: 23S ribosomal RNA
Rfam family: Bacterial large subunit ribosomal RNA
Source: RNAcentral